UACGGAAGGCAGCAGUGGGGAAUAUUGCACAAUGGGCGCAAGCCUGAUGCAGCCAUGCCGCGUGUAUGAAGAAGGCCUUCGGGUUGUAAAGUACUUUCAGUCGUGAGGAGGGUGUUAAGGUUAAUAACCUUAGCAAUUGACGUUAGCGACAGAAGAAGCACCGGCUAACUCCGUGCCAGCAGCCGCGGUAAUACGGAGGGUGCGAGCGUUAAUCGGAAUUACUGGGCGUAAAGGGCACGCAGGCGGUUAAUUAAGUUGGAUGUGAAAUCCCCGGGCUUAACCUGGGAAUGGCAUUCAAGACUGGUUAGCUAGAGUCUUGUAGAGGGGGUAGAAUUCCAUGUGUAGCGGUGAAAUGCGUAGAGAUGUGGAGGAAUACCGGUGGCGAAAGCGGCCCCUGGACAAAGACUGACGCUCAUGUGCGAAAGCGUGGGGAGCAAAC
This 439-nucleotide ribosomal RNA is filed under the name uncultured bacterium. Its description in RNAcentral is "bacterial SSU rRNA". It matches the Rfam family "Bacterial small subunit ribosomal RNA", at positions 340 to 773 of the family's 1533-position model. The record is from RNAcentral.